GAUGAAGAACGCAGUGAAAUGCGAUAAGUAAUGUGAAUUGCAGAAUUCAGUGAAUCAUCGAAUCUUUGAACGCACAUUGCGCCCGCUGGUAUUCCGGCGGGCAUGCCUGUUCGAGCGUCAUUUCAACCCUCAAGCUCUCCGGAGUUUGGUGUUGGGGCGCCUGGGGCUUUUCGACCUCAGGGCCCUCAAGUCCAUCGGCGGGACCGCCAGGACACUGAGCGCAGUAGUAUUAUUUCGCUCGGUAGGAUCUUCCACGGCGGGUCGAUCUGGCCGCUAAACCCCCCAAUUCUCACCAAAGGUUGACCUCGGAUCAGGUAGGAAUACCCGCUGAACUUAAGCAUAUCAUAAGCGGAGGA
Molecule: unclassified non-coding RNA, 356 nt
Filed under: soil metagenome
Description: partial contains 5.8S ribosomal RNA, internal transcribed spacer 2, and large subunit ribosomal RNA
Rfam family: 5.8S ribosomal RNA (bases 1-120)
Source: RNAcentral